Molecule: long non-coding RNA, 3878 nt
Organism: Cydia splendana
Lineage: Eukaryota; Metazoa; Arthropoda; Insecta; Lepidoptera; Tortricidae
Exons: 2
Source: RefSeq, a predicted model, not a curated record
UUAAGUGCGACUUUUCUUUUGAAUAACUAGCUACCCUGUCACAAUCAUAUGUAGCUUUAAAAUUGAAAAAAGCAACUCUAAUGCUCUCAAAAUAGAAUUGAAAUCGGUAUGAGGCAACACCUUGAAGCGUUCUUUUUUCGAUUUAAACGUUCCAGCCAGUCAGACGUUCACAAGUUUCGUCCUCGGACCGAAACUGAAUGUUCUACAGGAGUUAGUGCAGGUCUAAAGCAUAAGGCUUGUGCUUUUGUGUGUCUCCACAGUGAUACUAGGUUUUAAUGUAACUUGAGUAGUUGCUGAUAGCUGUCUACACUUAUGUGAGCCUAAUUAUUUUGCUGUACGUUGAAUGCAAGACACAAAAGCACGCGAAAAUGCAUUUGAGGACACAAUAAAGCGUGAACUCUUUAUUAUAUAUUUUAAAUUAUAAUGCAACUAACAAAUCUGGCUGAAUGAAUUUAUUUUAACGUUUUUAUUGUGUUCUUGGGUGUACAUAAUGCAAGACCGGUGAGGGAGCCAUACAUUUUGUAUGAGAUGAAUGCUGAAUGGGUGAUCCUAGGUGUUUUAAAUGUGGACUAUAAGAUUUUGCAUAGUUUUAUAAUGGGGAACAGAUUUUACAAAUUCACCUUUGUGUAUGAUGGUUGCAGUUAUCGUCUCUCGCGUCAAGCUCACUAUCGCACUUACAAGAGUGGCGGCCACGUUGACAGACGAUAAAAACUCAACCAACUCACGUCCGUUUAGAAAAAAAAAACAGCAAAGUCCAAUUAGUUGUGUUGACUCUUCAUGCAAUUUAACAUAAGCGUGUAAUUUCGAUGUUAUGAAAAAUUUGUACAGCUAUCAUAAUACUUAAUACUUCGAGCAACACGGAAGGGAGGCGGCAUUCGCACUAUUUCCCCUCUGCCGAGGUACAAGAUUAGCGCGUCAAUCUAAUCUAGCGCGGGUAAUAAAACUAGUUGCACUUGGAUUUUUCACUAGACCGAGUCCAGACGCGCGCGUGAACACUGCUGCACAAAAAUGCCUGUUUGCUCGGUUGUUUGUUAUAAAAAGAGGUCGGGGACAUCAAAUUUACAAAAAGAAAGUGUUACAUUUCACAUGUAAUAUUUUUUUUUACAUAUCAUACGUUUAAUUACAUUCAAACACAAUAAUUAUAUUUUAGUCUCAUGCAAUUGUUGGAUUUAUCGAUUUUGCUCGCUCAAUACAAAUUGCGGAUCGGUCGAGCGACAAAUCCGACUUCUCAUCUCUCAGAAUACAAUAACAUACUUCAACAAAAUGUGUUAGUGUGCGUGUUGUGACACUUGUCACUCGUCCGUACACAAAAAGAGAUCGAGGUUUGCAAGAUUUGUCUUUGACGUGUGUCAUUUUCUAUGUAUUUGUGUCGUCAUUACAGAUUGGAUUUUGUAUGUAAGUGUGUGAGAAGUGCGACUGUGUGCACCUUUCCCCCCGCGAAAAAUGGCAGAAAUAUUUGUACGGUGAGAUAUCGCUUGGGCCCCUCCUUUCCGAUGUGUCGGAAGCCGGUGUUGCUCGAAGACUUAAUAUAUAAAUCAUGUGACACAAUAAGUCAAUUUUCUACUUAUACAGGAUGAAUCUGUUCCCUAAGACUGUUAGGGUACUUGGUUUUUAAGUGCAAGUAUGCUGCAGUACGGCUCGUUUGGGGUAAUAGUAAGAUCGCACUUUUAAAACGAAAACAAUUAAGUUGACACAUUUAGUUUUUUUUUCAUGACCAUGCAGGCAUGCACACAAGUCCUUCAGUCGCAUUCAUAAACGACACAUAUAGUCUGGCUAACAAAUUUGUCAGUAGAAAAAAGCCGGCAAAUCAGGUUCGAGCUAAUAUAUUUUUUAAAUUUCGCGGCCUUUUCUGUCAAUUGAUUUGCCAGACUGUAACAUAUUACUUAAAUUCGAAUAUUUUAAGUAAUUUGGACACAGAGACGCAUUAUGACCGCGCAAAAGAUUGGUAGAAAUAUAAUGAAGUUAUAUUAUCAACUGGAACUUGUGUGUUUUCGUUUUAAAUAUACGAUAUGAAUGAAGGGACGACUAAAGCUCUGUGUUGUAUAUAGCACGCACCGCGGGACCGGGCCGAUUUCAUUUCAUUAAUUAAUUAAUAAAUAUAUAAUAAGACAGGAAAAAAAAACUUCUGGCAGUGCCGAGGUUCCAUGUCAUAAAGAACUAUAUUAAUACAGUGGUGGUCAAUUAAUAAUUAUUCGUUAAUAUCUGUUUUAUUACUGAAUGUUGAGUUAGAGGCAGCUAAAUAUCUCUAUUCCCUUUUACGAUAUCAACUAUAGCAAAGUGUGAUGUUAACCCUUUUCCAGUCCGCACCACCAUAUAUUCCAAUUUAUCCAGCUUUGAACAUUCAUUUGAAGACAUGUCACAUGAAUCAUUUCCCGAAAGUGCAAUCUAAUUUGAACCUUAAAUCGGAAUGUUAAAGUUUAAAUUCUGUUGGCGCGUAUGUGGUGAUAUGCCUGGAAAAGGGUAAGAACAUUAAUAAUUGUUCCACUUUUACCUCAAUACGGACAUACUUACGAUCUUUUGGCGAUUUGUGCGAUUUAGCUCGGUUUGGUUCGGUUAAGACAUAAAUAAUAUAUUAUAUUAGUAAAUAUUGGGUUCUGAGUCCCGCGGUCCUUGUAAUUAGUAUUAUUUAUUUAAUUAGUGCUUAAGAAUAAAAUCUUAUGAUUCUAAUAAAUUAUAUCUAAAGUUUUUUAAUUAGUGAGAUUAUCACCGCUCUUGGGCUUUUAUUAAUGUUUUAUAACUUUUUUAAUAAUUGUAAUACUGUAAAAUACUGUCAUUCCAAGCUUGAUGUCAAUAGUAACAUUAAAUGGUUACAUAUAUUUGAGAGCAAUACCUAAUGUAUGUUUAGUCGUAGUUUUGACAUUGUUAUAACAGAUUUAUUAGUAGGAUUUUUUGUAAUAUAAUUUAUGUGAGAUAUGUUCUUUUGGAUAAUUGUGUUAGGGGCUAAAUUAUAUUUUGUAUGUUCCGCUCCGCGCGACUUUGGUCAGACACUACUUCGGUUCGGUUUCAAAUUCGGUAUUUUCUUCUGAUCAUGCAUUGCAUGUUGGCUGCAAAUUGGGUUACAACCAAAAAAAAUCAAUCUAUCAAAAAGUCUCCCAUUCCAUUCUACUUUAAAUCUUUUUGGGUUGACACAUAAAAAUUGCAUUAGGUAAAUUAUUAAGCUAUGACGUUUGUGCGCCUAGGGGUUUGAAAUCAAACCUAAAAUCCUGGUCACGGCACCGCACUUACUUUCAAUAAGCUGUAAAAAAAAAUAGCCACGAAUAAUUAAGUAAUUGUAAUUUUUUUCCACAUCUGUACAAAAUUACACAGUUCAACAUUUUUGGAGCCGACUUUGCACGGUGAAAGAGAAGAAAAUACUAUCCAAAUGUCAUUAUUAUUAAUCUGGGUAUAUUUAUGUUUAUUACAAUCUGACUUUUUAUUUUAUAGAUCUACAGUUACAGUUUUGUCAAUAGUGCGUCGAAUCAUAUUAUUGUAUUCUACAAGUGGUACGGUCACUUGGGUACUGUCUUUUUAUAAAGGCCAGCACACCGGCUGCGUAUGCGUAGAAGUACAUCUGCGCGUGGCUAUGAUGUUGGAGUCGUGCACGCAAGUGGUGUGCCGUCUGUCACAAGGAUCUGUAUAUUACAACCCGCACGCGCCUGCUACGCAUACGCAUCCGGUGUGCACGGGUCUUAGACGUUUCACUUUUGUUUGCCGUGGCAAAAAUGUUUAUGACAGAUCAGUACCGAUAACUGAGAACAGCAAACAACUAAACUAACAAUAAAUAUAAAGAAUAUGAAUUUUGUAUACUUCAAUGACUGGUUUUUGUCGCGAAUCUGGUUUAUUGUAAAUACCCAUAAUACACGCUGAAUAUACAUAUUUUAAAUAAAACAUUAAACCCA